GAUGAACGCUGGCGGCGUGCUUAAUACAUGCAAGUCGAACGGAGAGUUAGCAAUAGCUCUUAGUGGCGAACGGGUGAGUAACGCGUUGGUGACCUGUCCCGAAGAUGGGGGAUAACAGUUCGAAAGGACUGCUAAUACCCGAUGUGGUUGUGAGAGUUAGAGGUCUUGCAACUGAAGGAGCAAUCCGCUUUGGGAGGGGUCUGCGUCCCAUCAGCUAGUUGGUAGGGUAAAAGCCUACCAAGGCGUAGACGGGUAGGGGACCUGAGAGGGUGAUCCCCCACACUGGCACUGAAACACGGGCCAGACACCUACGGGUGGCAG
RNAcentral lists this ribosomal RNA (321 nucleotides) under uncultured Chloroflexota bacterium. RNAcentral describes it as "bacterial SSU rRNA". It matches the Rfam family "Bacterial small subunit ribosomal RNA", at positions 28 to 351 of the family's 1533-position model. Lineage: Bacteria; Bacillati; Chloroflexota. The record is from RNAcentral.